Non-coding RNA from Amanita rubescens, 80 nucleotides. NCBI's taxonomy places the organism in Eukaryota, Fungi, Basidiomycota, Agaricomycetes, Agaricales, Amanitaceae. The record is from the annotation of a GenBank genome assembly.
GGCAACAUGGCCGAGCGGUCUAAGGCGCCAGACCCAGGAUCUGGUCCGAAAGGGCGUGAGUUCAAAUCUCACUGUUGUCA